This 1851-nucleotide long non-coding RNA is filed under the name Salmo salar (Atlantic salmon). Its description in RNAcentral is "lncRNA (ENSSSAG00000105422.1, ENSSSAG00000113539.1)". Lineage: Eukaryota; Metazoa; Chordata; Actinopteri; Salmoniformes; Salmonidae. The record is from RNAcentral.
CACACACACACACACGGUCGUUUUGUUCACACACACACACACACGGUCGUUUUGUUCACACACACAUACACGGUUGUUUUGUUCACACACACGGUCGUUUUGUUCACACACACGGUCGUUUUGUUCACACACACACACGGCCGUUUUGUUCACACACACACACGGCCGUUUUGUUCACACACACACGGUCGUUUUGUUCACACACACACACACAUACACACGGUAGGUUUGUUCUCACACACACACACACACACACACACGGUCGUUUUGUUCACACACACACACACGGUCGUUUUGUUCACACACACGGUCGUUUUGUUCACACACACACACACACGGUCGUUUUGUUCACACACACACACGCGUCGUUUUGUUCCACACACACACACACGGUCGUUUUGUUCACACACACACACACACGGUCGUUUUGUUCACACACACACACGGUCGUUUUGUUCACACACACACACGGUCGUUUUGUUCACACACACACGGUCGUUUUGUUCACACACACACACGGUCGUUUUGUUCACACACACACACGGUCGUUUUGUUCACACACACGGUCGUUUUGUUCACACACACACGGUCGUUUUGUUCUCACACACACACACACACACACGGUCGUUUUGUUCACACACACACACGGUAGUUUUGUUCACACACACAAACACGGUCGUUUUGUUCACACACACAAACACGGUCGUUUUGUUCACACACACACACACACACAGUCGUUUUGUUCACACACACGCACACACACAUACACACACGGUCGUUUUUUCAAACACACACACACAGUCGUUUUGUUCACACACACACACACACACACACGGUCGUUUUGUUCACACACACGGUCGUUUUGUUCACACACACAUACACACACGGUCGUUUUGUUCACACACACACACACACACACACACACACACACACACACACGGUCGUUUUGUUCACACACACACGGUCGUUUUGUUCACACACACACGGUCGUUUUGUUCACACACACACACAUACACACGGUAGGUUUGUUCUCUCACACACACACGGUCGUUUUGUUCACACACACACACACACACACACGGUCGUUUUGUUCACACACACACACACGGUCGUUUUGUUCACACACACACACGGUCGUUUUGUUCACACACACACACACACACACACACACACGGUCGUUUUGUUCACACACACGGUCGUUUUGUUCACACACACACACACACACGGUCGUUUUGUUCACACACACACACACACGGUCGUUUUGUUCACACACACACACACACGGUCGUUUUGUUCACACACACACACACACACACACACGGUCGUUUUGUUCACACACACACACGGUCGUUUUGUUCACACACACACGGUCGUUUUGUUCACACACACACGGUCGUUUUGUUCACACACACACACGGUCGUUUUGUUCACACACACACACACACACGGUCGUUUUGUUCACACACACACGGUCGUUUUGUUCACACACACACACACACACACGGUCGUUUUGUUCACACACACACACGGUCGUUUUGUUCACACACACACACGGUCGUUUUGUUCACACACACACACGGUCGUUUUGUUCACACACACACACACACGGUCGUUUUGUUCACACACACACACGGUCGUUUUGUUCACACACACACACACGGUCGUUUUGUUCACACACACACACGGUCGUUUUGUUCACACACACACACACACACACACACACGGUCGUUUUGUUCUCACACACACACACGGUCGUUUUGUUCACACACACACACACACACGGUCGUCGUUUGCACACACACACGGUCGUUUUGUUCACACACACACACACACACACACACGGUCGUUUUG